GAACUGCGAUAAGUAAUGUGAAUUGCAGAAUUCAGUGAAUCAUCGAGUCUUUGAACGCACAUUGCGCCCGCCAGUAUUCUGGCGGGCAUGCCUGUCCGAGCGUCAUUUCAACCAUCAAGCCCCCGGGCUUGUGUUGGGGACCUGCGGCUGCCCGCAGGCCCUGAAAACCAGUGGCGGGCUCGCUGUCACACCGAGCGUAGUAGCAAUCACCUCGCUCAGGGCGUGCUGCGGGUUCCGGCCGUUAAACAGCCUUACAAAACCCAAGGUUGACCUCGGAUCAGGUAGGAAGACCCGCUGAACUUAAGC
Molecule: unclassified non-coding RNA, 306 nt
Filed under: plant metagenome
Description: partial contains 5.8S ribosomal RNA, internal transcribed spacer 2, and large subunit ribosomal RNA
Rfam family: 5.8S ribosomal RNA (bases 1-105)
Source: RNAcentral